GAGGGCAUAGCUCAGUGGCAGAGUGCAUGCUUAGCAUGCACAAGGUCCGGGGUUCGAUCCCCAGUACCUCCA
RNAcentral lists this transfer RNA (72 nucleotides) under Camelus bactrianus (Bactrian camel). It matches the Rfam family "tRNA". Rfam says of the family: Transfer RNA (tRNA) molecules are approximately 80 nucleotides in length. The record is from Rfam by way of RNAcentral. RNAcentral also lists the same sequence under 2 other names. Lineage: Eukaryota; Metazoa; Chordata; Mammalia; Artiodactyla; Camelidae.